UCGGAUGUAGUGCACGGCGCACAUCAGCCCUUUAUAAGGGAUCGUGGUCCACCUACAAGCUGAAACCCGGGGUUCGACUCCCUGCAUCCGAA
This is a non-coding RNA of Mycena rebaudengoi, 92 nucleotides long. NCBI's taxonomy places the organism in Eukaryota, Fungi, Basidiomycota, Agaricomycetes, Agaricales, Mycenaceae. The record is from the annotation of a GenBank genome assembly.